This 69-nucleotide transfer RNA is filed under the name Larsonella pumila. Its description in RNAcentral is "tRNA-Val". It matches the Rfam family "tRNA". From Rfam's summary of the family: Transfer RNA (tRNA) molecules are approximately 80 nucleotides in length. Lineage: Eukaryota; Metazoa; Chordata; Actinopteri; Gobiiformes; Gobiidae. The record is from RNAcentral.
CAAAGCGUAGCUAAACUAUAGCAUCUCCCUUACACUGAGAAGACACUCGUUAAAAUCGAGUCGCUCUGA